Gigantopelta aegis is the source of this 777-nucleotide long non-coding RNA. RefSeq lists it as uncharacterized. The transcript is spliced from 2 exons. The record is from RefSeq and is a predicted model, not a curated record. NCBI's taxonomy places the organism in Eukaryota, Metazoa, Mollusca, Gastropoda, Neomphalida, Peltospiridae.
UGAAAAUUAAAGCAAAAAAGAUUGCCAGGGAUAAGAAAGUAGAUCUAGUAAAAGCAGGGGGUGGAGAACAAGUUUGUGGCGAUGUUGACGAAGAAACAUUAAUAAUAUUAAAUAUUAUUAAAAAAGAUCUGACGGUGUUCUUCAACACUUGGGGUGAUGAUAGCGAGCUUCAACCACUGUCGGCUGCAAAUGAGACACCAACCCCAACCGGGAGACAGACCACUCAACUGGAAACCGAGGAUAUAGAGCCGACUAUACCAAGCGAUCAGUCGCAAUUCUGUUCUAACUCGAGUGAAUCCCACACUUCUCAUCAAGAUCCAUUGCCGAUAAACCAGUCUAGCGAUUCCUUUGAUGGCCAUAUACCUAGGCACAGUUCGCACAGUUCCCAAUCAGACACUGCAAGCAGAGGGUUAAGGUAUGCUUUAAUGUGCAUAUGGGAAGCUAACAUAACAAUGCUCCAUCUCUUAAUUUUAGAGUGUAUUGCCCAUUAACAUACUUGUUAACAGACUUUCUCUGCGUGGCACCAAACGAUCUUCGGACAACUCUAACAGGGCUGGUACAGAGGGACGAACUGGUGUUAUGAAGAGGGCGGAGGAAGCCAUGUCCUACCUGCAAGCAGAACAUGAAGCAAAAAUGAAGCUAAUAACCUUACAGCAGGAGGCUGCAAAAAACAAGCAUAUCAGGCAAAGCAGAAAUACUAUGACGAAAAAUAUAGAAAAUUAUGCAUCGAUUUAUGACAUGUAAUUUUCUGGUUAAUAAAUUUAUCAAGUAACUGAA